This 177-nucleotide ribosomal RNA is filed under the name uncultured bacterium. Its description in RNAcentral is "partial 16S ribosomal RNA". It matches the Rfam family "Bacterial small subunit ribosomal RNA", at positions 355 to 526 of the family's 1533-position model. The record is from RNAcentral.
UGAGGAAUAUUGGUCAAUGGGCGAGAGCCUGAACCAGCCAAGUCGCGUGAAGGAUGAAGGUUCUAUGGAUUGUAAACUUCUUUUGUCGGGGAAUAAAGUGAGCCACGUGUGGUUUUUUGUAUGUACCCGACGAAUAAGGAUCGGCUAACUCCGUGCCAGCAGCCGCGGUAAUAUCAC